AGUGAACACUGGCGGUAGGCCUAACACAUGCAAGUCGAACGGCAGCACAGUAAGAGCUUGCUCUUACGGGUGGCGAGUGGCGGACGGGUGAGGAAUACAUCGGAAUCUACUUUUUCGUGGGGGAUAACGUAGGGAAACUUACGCUAAUACCGCAUACGACCUACGGGUGAAAGCAGGGGAUCUUCGGACCUUGCGCGAUUGAAUGAGCCGAUGUCGGAUUAGCUAGUUGGCGGGGUAAAGGCCCACCAAGGCGACGAUCCGUAGCUGGUCUGAGAGGAUGAUCAGCCACACUGGAACUGAGACACGGUCCAGACUCCUACGGGAGGCAGCAGUGGGGAAUAUUGGACAAUGGGCGCAAGCCUGAUCCAGCCAUACCGCGUGGGUGAAGAAGGCCUUCGGGUUGUAAAGCCCUUUUGUUGGGAAAGAAAAGCAGCAGGUUAAUACCCCGCUGUUCCGACGGUACCCAAAGAAUAAGCACCGGCUAACUUCGUG
RNAcentral lists this ribosomal RNA (492 nucleotides) under uncultured bacterium. Its description in RNAcentral is "partial 16S ribosomal RNA". It matches the Rfam family "Bacterial small subunit ribosomal RNA", at positions 29 to 507 of the family's 1533-position model. The record is from RNAcentral.